UACAUGUAGGUAAAAUGCCCAUAGGUGUAAU
RNAcentral lists this non-coding RNA (31 nucleotides) under Rattus norvegicus (Norway rat). Lineage: Eukaryota; Metazoa; Chordata; Mammalia; Rodentia; Muridae. The record is from RNAcentral.